AAUGGGCGCAAGCCUGAUCCAGCCAUCCCGCGUGCUUGAUGAAGGCCCUCUGGGUUGUAAAGAGCUUUAGUCUGGGAAGAAACCGUUUUCUGCGGAAGACGCUGACGGUACCAGAAGAAUAAGCACCGGCUAACUCCGUGCCAGCAGCCGCGGUAAUACGGAGGGUGCAAGCGUUAUCCGGAAUCACUGGGUUUAAAGGGUGCGUAGGCGGUCUGAUAAGUCAGAGGUGAAAGCCUGCAGCUUAACUGUAGAAUUGCCUUUGAUACUGUCAGACUUGAAUGGGGUCGAGGUCGGCGGAAUGUGGCAUGUAGCGGUGAAAUGCAUAGAUAUGCCAUAGAACACCAAUUGCGAAGGCAGCUGACUAGGCCUGUAUUGACGCUGAGGCACGAAAGCGUGGGGAGCAAA
This 405-nucleotide ribosomal RNA is filed under the name uncultured bacterium. Its description in RNAcentral is "bacterial SSU rRNA". It matches the Rfam family "Bacterial small subunit ribosomal RNA", at positions 370 to 772 of the family's 1533-position model. The record is from RNAcentral.